Dromaius novaehollandiae (emu) is the source of this 186-nucleotide long non-coding RNA. RefSeq lists it as uncharacterized. The record is from RefSeq and is a predicted model, not a curated record. NCBI's taxonomy places the organism in Eukaryota, Metazoa, Chordata, Aves, Casuariiformes, Dromaiidae. The transcript is spliced from 2 exons.
GGUUGAUCGGGGGAGCGGGCGGAGGGGGGGAAAGGAGCUGUGAGGAAAACUCUGGAAGAUUCGGGUGCUGCUGGGCGCUGAUUGGUUAGCAGUGAGAUCCAGCCUGGAUGCCUUGAUGGUGAGGAGACUGUCCAGAAUGCUUUCCCCUCCAAAAUAUUAAAGACGAACACAGGCACUGACACUCUA